UACGAAGGGGGCUAGCGUUGCUCGGAAUCACUGGGCGUAAAGCGCACGUAGGCGGAUUGCUAAGUCAGGGGUGAAAUCCUGGAGCUCAACUCCAGAACUGCCUUUGAUACUGGCGACCUUGAGUCCGGGAGAGGUGAGUGGAACUGCGAGUGUAGAGGUGAAAUUCGUAGAUAUCGGGAGGAACACCUGUGGCGAAAGCGGCUCACUGGACCACAACUGACGCUGAGGGACGAAAGCUAGGGGAGCGAAAGGG
RNAcentral lists this ribosomal RNA (253 nucleotides) under uncultured bacterium. Its description in RNAcentral is "partial 16S ribosomal RNA". It matches the Rfam family "Bacterial small subunit ribosomal RNA", at positions 524 to 776 of the family's 1533-position model. The record is from RNAcentral.